UGUUAUGAGCAUAAACGAGUUGCUUUUCAGCCAUUCCGGAAAGAUUUACAUAAAACAAAAUGGCUGAUAACUCGGAAAUUUUUAUUCCAUCUGUGGUUAUUCUGUCUUGUCUGAUGGUUGUUGGAUUUGUUGGUAAUCUGCAUGUUAUUUCGUAUAUGCGUUCAGGUUAAAGCCAACAAACCAUGCAAUUUUUAUCAAAGUUCUAAGCAUUUACGAUAUCAGUGCAUGUACAGUUCUUAUACCUUUGAUGAUAUACAAGUACAUCAAUCCAUGGACAUAUGGCAGCGUUUUUAGGUGUAGAAUCUUCGAGUUCAUGGCGAGUUUAAUUUUCACUGGAUCUAUAUUCACCCUACUAUUAGUAGCUGUUUACAGGUAUAGAAAGGUAUGUCGGCCACAUGGAUGGCAGAUAAAAAAUCGAGUUGCUAAACUGCUUUGCUUGAUUGCUGCGAUAUCUGCCUGUGUUUGUUCAUGUCCAUUUGUUGCAUUCACCGAGGUAAGGACACAAUCCUUUAAAAAUAAAACAUUUACAUGGUGCGUUAGAGUUGAAGGGACCACACAAUAUGUCCUAUAUCAUCUUAUAUUUAUUGCACUAAUAACGUUUGUGUCUUUAUGCGCUUUGGUAUCUCUGUAUGCGUGUAUUUUAAAAGCAGCAUCAGGAUUACACGCCAAAGAAAGCUUUGGUAAUGUUCACAAAAGUGGUGUAACAGGUUUGAAGCAUAUAAAACUAAAUGUUUUGAAUAGACAUAAAGAACAAUCGACUUCAUCUACAAAAACAAUUGAUUCGCAAGAAAUCGGAUAUAAUCAAGAUAACAUUGAGACAAGAGAUAACAGCGAGACUUUAGCCACCUGCUCAGCCAACCAAAUCAAAACAGAGACAACGAAUGACAAUCACCAGAAAAAGAACAGAAUAAGAAAAAUAACACUAGCUUUUAUAUUAGUGACUGUGUCCUUUUGUAUUAGCUAUAUUCCAUUUCUAUCUGCGGGCAUCUUUAAAAUACAGAUACAAAUGUCCUCCUCAUACCUCAGUAAAGAUGUUUAUAUUGCAUUACACUUUGUACAGACCUGUGUAUUUAUCAACAGCAUGGUAAACUGUUUUAUAUACAGCUGCUUUGACAUACAAUUCAAACAGGAAAUAGGGAUGCUAUAUAAAACGUUAUGUCGCACACGAAAAGACCGACGAUCCAAUUAAUACAUAUAAACUUAAGAAACCAUCUAGUUGGACUUUCUCCUGACCAAUACAAAUGAUAAAGAUUUAAUCAAUAUAGCUGCACGUAUGGAUUUUUUUAGUAUUUUUUCGACUUUCACUAUGCAAUUUAUUUUCAGUCUUGGUACACAAUUUUCAAAGUUGAUAUAAUAAUAUUUAAUAAUUAAAGAAAUAGUUACUUUAGAAAAUAACAGGAAAGAAAUGGAAUGCUUAUUGUUUCCGCUUUGUCAGUCCGUCCCUUAAUUACCUUAAGUUUACCCGAAAUACUUCUCGACAACCAUAGAUUUGAACCUGUCUGCGAUUUUGAUAUUUCAAAAAUAAAAGCGAAUAGAAUAUAACACGGAUAUAUAAGAUCAUGCAGCGGGAAAUAAAAUUAUUUAUUUCCAAUUUUUUAUCAGUAGUCCAAAAUACAAAUAGAAUAUACGUGGUGUAUGCUUUGUUCAAGGGAUAAUUAUAUAUAGAUGAAAUGUUUUGAGCAAACUUGUACAUGGGCUGUGGCUGUUAACUGACUUAGUUAAAUUUUCGACAGUAAUGGUCAAUGGUAGUAUAUUUUCGUAACAUCACAACCUGAAAAUUUCCUACCAUUAACCAUUAAUGUUAAAAAUUUAACUAAGUCGGCAAACAGGAUGUGGAUGAGCGACAGACCUGAAAUUGAAUCCCACAGUAUGGGACCAUAUGUUGGUGCUGUAUACCGAAAAUCUAAAGGCUGUGAUAAGUAGAUGCUGAGAAACUGCUACGAAAAUGCCCUACUAUUAACAUUUAACUAAGUCGGCAAACAUUCACCAUACUAUAAUCCUUCACCUGUGCAACCUGGCCAAAAAUCAACAGAUUCAAUAUUCAAGUAAUAAUUUACAUGUUGUAUGCGAUUAAUGACUGCUUUUACGGUAUUUGCAAAUGUAUCGCGUGACUAAGGCGGUAAGGGUUAUAUUGCAUAUUCUGACCGGGUUCUUUAAUAUAAUUUACGUUGAUCGUGCGCGUAAAUUAUUUUCUUUAUUAACUGCGUAAUAUCUUGAGAUAUGUUACUGUUUUAUACGUUUUCAAAAUUUUCAUGAAAAUCAACACGAAUCUGGAGCCAUCCUGCUUUAAAGAGACUCCACUGAGUUUUUUUGACAUGAUGGUUUCCCAGAUAAAUGUAACAAUUUGAUGUAGGUUUAGACCACUAAUCUUUGUGCAAAAUUUCAGAUCAUUCGUGCACUUCGUUUUCAAGAAUAAUUAUUCAAAUUGUAAAAAAUGACGCAAAAUAAAAAGCGUUUAAACACUUUUCACUCAAAUCGGGCUAAGAAAAGCAUAAAAUACGAUUUUCAAUUUAUUUCAAAGUAUAUUUCUUUGCUAUCUUUGCAAAUACAGGUCUCGACACUAACUUUUUCAGCAGGUGGUAUGCCGGACCACUGGAUCCAAAAUUCAGGUGGUCCUUUCUGAACACAGGUGGUCCAUCUUUUUUUUAUUCAUUUGUUUUUAAGGAAACUUCAGAUUUAGAAGAACUACACUUAAAAUUGGUGACAGAGACAUAUUUAUUAUUUGAUUUAUAACAACUGAAGAAAACAUGUAUUUUUCCUAUUUCAAUCUAAUCAGAUAGUAAGUCAUUGUAAUCCUAUUUAGUAUUUAUUAUCUCAUUGAAAAAUACAUGACAUAACUCAUACUUCGGUUAAGUGACUUCUUCCGCAACUCAAGUUAGGGAAUAGUGAAACAAUUUGUGAAUGACUUAUUUCCUUACUGUUAUAUAAACACUCAUUGCUGUUUCCUGGUACAUCUUAUAAGAAUAAUAAUUGCUUUUUAUAGAUUAACAUUUUUAAUUAAACUAUUAAGUUAUUAUAUUCUUGCCUUUGAAAAAAAUAAAAUAUUAAUGAUAAACAGAAAAAUUCCUACAUUAUAAUUGAGCUUAUCUUCCUCACAGAUUUAUCAUACAUCCUUGUUUGUUGAAAUGAAUUUAUUUUUGACAAAGUAUUUAUAACCUUUUAAAGUACUUAAAAUAAGAAAAAUAUGGAUCUCUGAUCGUUAAAAAAAAGGAGCCAAAGAUAACUAGAUAUUAAUUUUUCCUUUGCCUUUGUUUCCACCAUUAUUCAUGUGUUUAUCCGAUAUCACAUACUAGUGAUACAAUGUUAUAAAUUCAAUGCAGUACUAGAGACAUUUGCAUGAAUUUUAUACUUUAAUAAUUAAAAUGAUUUUCUCCUUUUUUAACUUCACUGUUAGCGAGUUAAUAAAAGGUUAUCUUUUUGAACUAAUGAGAUGAAUGAACAUAUACCUGUACAUCGGAGAAAUGGUUUUAAUCAACAAUUAUAGAACACGUUUUUCUACCAAAUAACCAUUCUCUUGGAUGAGCCCUGCACCAUUUGGAAAAUUCAAGUGGUCUAACGGACCAGUUGCCAGUAAAAUUAGGUGGUCCUUGCCAAAAUCAGGUGGUCUCGGACCAAUGGACCACCGCUAAUGUCGAGGCCUGUACAGUUUUCAUAUCUACCGGGAAAAAAAAGGUUGAAAUUGUUUUGUUGUUCUUCACUAAACAGACAUGAGCUAUGAAUAAAAAGAUAAAUGUAAUAAUAAUCAAAACACAUGUGAUGUAAUUGUUAACUUCAAUACAUAAGAGUGUACAUAUCAACAUUUUUUCUUGCAUAUUAUUUCAUGCAUCAUUUAUAUUCUUAAGUUCAUACGUAUUCCUAUUGUUUUGACUUCAUAAAGCACAUGCAGCUAUUCAGAAUAUAUCCGAUUUUUGCAACAGCAUUCGGACUUAUCCAUGGCUUUCUUUAAAUUAUUUGGACAUGUUAUAUUGUACACAAACACUCCUAUGUCAUAUACUAUCAUGAAUCCGCUUAUAAAUACAAUACAGCUCCGUACAAAAUUCCAAAAGGAUGAAGCAUUCAAGAUGUCAUCUCCUUGUUCCUUGCCAUAUGAUAUGGAGAAUAUGAACACUAUUAUUUCAACUGCCAUAAUAAAAAGUUCCAUUACGUGAAACAUACCUAGUCUGAUCCAUACAUGACAACACCCAUAGUUAAACCAGCAGCAACAAAAUACCCCCACAAUAAUUCCAAAGCCAUAUGUAAAAACACAAGCUUCCAUUAGUUUCUCAUUAGUAUUUGUCAUAUUGUUUACUUCGGCGUCAGGUCCGUCAUCUGUUCCAACUAUCACGCUUAUUUCUACAAUUGAUAAAAUGAUAGACAUCCAGUAUCUAAAUUUCCAUGCAUAAAUGGGAGUAAGUUUUACAUCACAUUUCCAUUCAAUGAAUUUGAGCAAUGUCUUUUGUAAUACUAAUGUUACAAUAUCAAAAACAUCAGAAGAAUCGAGUGUGUCUGCCAUAUUAGUUUUCACCUUU
This is an RNA transcript of Ruditapes philippinarum (Manila clam), 4508 nucleotides long. It is a transcript of the gene named octopressin receptor-like, with no coding region annotated. The record is from RefSeq and is a predicted model, not a curated record. Lineage: Eukaryota; Metazoa; Mollusca; Bivalvia; Venerida; Veneridae. The transcript is spliced from 3 exons.